This 550-nucleotide ribosomal RNA is filed under the name Melampsora sp. PZ-2013. RNAcentral describes it as "eukaryotic LSU rRNA". It matches the Rfam family "Eukaryotic large subunit ribosomal RNA", at positions 88 to 620 of the family's 3401-position model. Lineage: Eukaryota; Fungi; Basidiomycota; Pucciniomycetes; Pucciniales; Melampsoraceae. The record is from RNAcentral.
GGCGAGUGAACAGGGAAAAGCCCAAAUUUGUAAUCUGGCACUUUUUACAAGUGUCCGAGUUGUAAUUUGUAGAGCUGUUAUCCGUACUGGACCAUGUACAAGUCUGUUGAAAAGCAGCAUCAUUGAAGGUGAAAAUCCUGUAGAUGAUAUGGACUACCAGUAUAUUUGUGAUACGGUUUCUAAGAGUCGAGUUGUUUGGGAAUGCAGCUCAAAGUGGGUGGUAAAUUCCAUCUAAGGCUAAAUAUAAGUGAGAGACCGAUAGCAAACAAGUACCGUGAGGGAAAGAUGAAAAGAACUUUGAAAAUAGAGUUAACAGUACGUGAAAUUGCUGAAAGGGAAACGUUUGAAGUUAGUUUUGUAUUCGUUGGAUCAGCUUCGCAAGGAGUGUAUUCUGAUGAUAAGCAAGUCAACAUCAGUCUAUGAGUGUUGGAUAAGGGUUUUGAGAAUGUAGCAAUUUAAUUGUGUUAUAGCUUGAGACUUGGAUACAAUGCUUUGGAUUGAGGAACGCGUAGUAAGCUUUGAGCGGAUUCGAAAGGAUCUCCUUACUAUG